RNAcentral lists this ribosomal RNA (99 nucleotides) under Clostridioides difficile. Its description in RNAcentral is "partial 16S ribosomal RNA". It matches the Rfam family "Bacterial small subunit ribosomal RNA", at positions 1444 to 1533 of the family's 1533-position model. The record is from RNAcentral. Lineage: Bacteria; Bacillati; Bacillota; Clostridia; Peptostreptococcales; Peptostreptococcaceae.
UGGAAGAAGUCGUCGAAGGUGGAAUCAAUAACUGGGGUGAAGUCGUAACAAGGUAGCCGUAUCGGAAGGGGCGGCUGGAUCACCUCCUUUCUAAGGAGA